This 279-nucleotide unclassified non-coding RNA is filed under the name plant metagenome. RNAcentral describes it as "partial contains small subunit ribosomal RNA, internal transcribed spacer 1, and 5.8S ribosomal RNA". The record is from RNAcentral.
UUUCCGUAGGUGAACCUGCGGAAGGAUCGUUAUUGUAUAAACAACUUGCGAGGGCUGUGGCUGAGCCGACAGAUCGUUCACGCCUGAGUGCCCCCCCCCGUCCAUCUAACACCUAUGUACACAACCGCGCGGGUCCGCCAUCAACCUAUCUGGUGGGGUGCCUACGUUUUCACCCAAACUCUUAAUGCAGUGUGCAAUGUUUUUUUUGUUUUUACGACUUCCCACACAGUACAACUUUCUACAACGGAUCUCUUGGAUCUCGCAUCGAUGGAGAACGAC